This 774-nucleotide ribosomal RNA is filed under the name uncultured Neocallimastigales. Its description in RNAcentral is "partial large subunit ribosomal RNA". It matches the Rfam family "Eukaryotic large subunit ribosomal RNA", at positions 22 to 639 of the family's 3401-position model. Lineage: Eukaryota; Fungi; Neocallimastigomycota; Neocallimastigomycetes; Neocallimastigales. The record is from RNAcentral.
GUACACGCUGUGACUAGCAUAUCAAUAAGCGGAGGAAAAGAAACUAACAAGGAUUCCCCUAGUAACGGCGAGUGAAGCGGGAAGAGCUCAAAUUUGAAAUCUUAAAGGGUUUCCCUUUACGAAUUGUAGUUUAAAGAAGUGUUUUCUGUUGAGGUUUUGGUAAAAGUUCUUUGGAAUAGGACAUCAUAGAGGGUGAGAAUCCCGUAUUUGACCUUUACUUUCAACUUUGUGAUACACUUUCAAAGAGUCGGAUUGUUUGGGAAUGCAGUCCAAAAUGGGUGGUAAAUUUCAUCUAAAGCUAAAUAUUGGCGAGAGACCGAUAGCGAACAAGUACCGUGAGGGAAAGACGAAAAGAACUUUGAAAAGAGAGUUAAACAGUACGUGAAAUUGUCAAAAGGGAAGCGUUUGACACCAGUGUUGUUUUUCUGAAAAUCAAUUAAAGAACUGUUUAUGCUAAGCUGUUUAGACUUUAUCAGCUAUCUGUUUAGUUUUGAGCUUUUCUUUAAUGCACUUUUCAGUUAACAAGUCAACAUCAAUUUCUUUUGCUGUAAAAAAGCUUGAGGAAGGUGGCUUGAGAUUCGUCUCAAGUGUUUAUAGCCUCUUGCCUAUGCAGUCGGAGAGAUUGAGGUCUGCAGCGUAGAUCCUUCGGGGCUAAAUGCAUUUGUGCUAAGUUAUAACAUUUUAUAGACAACUUGUUGACUAUGAUUUGUCUUGUAGCUUACUCGCUUAUGUUAUUUUACCUACGCUUAGGAUGUUGACGCGCGUGUGUGCGUG